RNAcentral lists this long non-coding RNA (1733 nucleotides) under Gallus gallus (chicken). Lineage: Eukaryota; Metazoa; Chordata; Aves; Galliformes; Phasianidae. The record is from RNAcentral.
AUUAUAGUGUGUUAUCUUACAUUCCGAUACUAUAUUUAGUAAAUUAGUUUGUUUCUCCUCUGCUUGUUGCCACUGUUUUUAAUUAUUUUGGGAUCCCCUGUUUCCCUUCCUGGAGGCGUGGAUUUUGCGAAAUCCCUCCGCUCCACUAGUCGCGGAACCGGGCCGGACCAGCCCUUAAACCGUUGACAGUCUGAUUGUGGUAGUACAAGAGGGAAUGGCUUUAAACUAAAAGGGGGAAUUCAGGUUAGCUGUCAGGAGGAAAUUCUCCACUCAGAGGGCUGUGAGGCACUGGCACAGCUGCCCAGAGAACCUGUGGUGCCCCAUCCCUGAAGGCGCUCAAGGCCAGGUUGGAUGGGGCCCUGGGCAGCUGAGCUGCUGGGGGGCAGCCCUGCCCCAUGGCUUGGAGUGGGACUGGGUGGGCUUUGAGAUUUCUUCCAACCCAAACCAUUCUAUGGUUCUUUGAUAUUGUAUGACUCCAUGACUCGCAAAUGCGUGGUGGUUUGGUGGCUCCUCUCUUUCAGCCACGUUGUGCUGGGAGGGGUGUCAGACAUCCCUCAUACUUUGCUGGAGCAUUUAAUUCCUACGCAAUGAAACUGGAGACUUAAACAAGAAAAUAGGAUUCUCAGUAGUCAGUACUGUUUGUCUGAGGUGGCCAAUACAAAAACACUAGCAGCUGGAAAGGAACAUUUUCUUUUCAUCUGACAAACGUGUAAUGCCAAUGCAGGAGUCCCGAUGAGAAGGAGCACACAGAGGGCAUCUUCAGCAGUGAGUGUCCUUGGUGGGCUGCCCUUGCUGUCCUCAGCUUGUGGCUUUUUUCCCCUAAGAUUGAGUGAUUUUGGCCAUUAGUGCAAACGUGAUGGGUUAAUAUUCUCUGAGGCUGAAAAUGGAUGGCCGUGGUGGGAGAGCAGUCAUCUCUCCCCUGUGUCACACUGCUGACAGGGCUAAUCCUUCUCUUGCCAGUCUCUGAUGUAACUUAAUUAAUUUUAGUGGAAUUACUCCUGAUGUAUAAUUAAGCGAGAAGGAAAUUGAACUGGACAAUGUGAGAAGCUUCCUGUGUUGUUGCUUAUCAUUACGAAGAGAAAUGGAGGACUCUGCGUUUCAUUAGUGCCAGGCUUUCACCUUGAACGUGAAAUCCCCCUAACGAAGCACUGCUUCAGAAAAAGGUGCCUGGGUCUGGUGUCUGAGCUCGAGUUUACCUUGUUCUUUAGCUAAUUACAUAAGAGUGGUUGUAAACUGGUGAGGAUGCCAAAACUGAGCUGCAAAUCGCAUCCUCCUCAUGAUUAUUUUUUUCUUUCUAAGAAGCACUACACUGAUAACCCCAGUACUGAAGUCCUCGCAUCUGCCUGCACUUCUCUGCCCACCGUCUUUUGGGUUUGUUUUAUCGUACCUUAAAUAUACAUACAGGGCAGCCCAUGUUUUACCUAGGAUUAAACAGCUGUUAGGGAUUGUCAGUAGAUCCUGUGCUCCCUAUUGCAACACAGAAGCUAGCAGUGUGAGAACUUCUGUACCAUUUCUGGUGCCCCCUAUUGGUACUCCUUAAAAAACCACUUAAUCUUCGUGGGAACAGUUCGACUCCAAGGCGAGAGUAUGAAGAGCAGCUCAGGUCACUCAGAGCAGAGGAGCUGAGGGGAGGACUGAUGGCGGCUGCAGCUCCUCACAGGGAGCGGAGGGGCAGCGCUGAGCUCUGCUCUGUGUGACAGCGACAGGGCCCGAGGGAACGGCAUGGAGCUGUG